CUUUUGUGCUACCGGUGCUUAACCUAACUCCUCAGAUACCAUCAAGUCAAUGCUUGCACACAUUUCGACUUCUAGCUAUUGUUCACAGUUUUCAUCACAUCUAAUCUUGAUGCUAUUUACUCUUAACAGUAGUUGCAAAAACUGUAUUAUUUUGUUUCCAUGCAAUUCUGAAUGAGUUUCUUCAGAUCACGUAAUUCACAUGGGAAGAAGAAAAUGUUUGAGGUUACCAUCUCAAUACAUUACUUCGACCUCCUAAAUAGCUAUAUGUUACUGAAUUUGUCAUUUUUUUGUUUCAUGUCUGCAGGAAACAAAAUUACUCUUGAAUCUGGCAGUGAUUGAGCUAAGUGAUAUUACUUUUCCUGUCUAUCCAUCAUUUUACAUCAAAGGUUACACUCCAGGCCAUAUAUUUCACUUCUGAUGUGUAUUCUGGCAACAACAGUUUUUUUUUGUUUGCCAUUUUCUUUCUACCAAAUAGACAUUGUGCAAACAAGCUUAUAAAUU
This is a long non-coding RNA of Lolium rigidum, 501 nucleotides long. RefSeq lists it as uncharacterized. The transcript has 3 exons. The record is from RefSeq and is a predicted model, not a curated record. NCBI's taxonomy places the organism in Eukaryota, Viridiplantae, Streptophyta, Magnoliopsida, Poales, Poaceae.